This 307-nucleotide transfer-messenger RNA is filed under the name Tatlockia sp. RNAcentral describes it as "partial transfer-messenger RNA". It matches the Rfam family "transfer-messenger RNA", at positions 75 to 374 of the family's 374-position model. Rfam says of the family: Bacterial tmRNA, also known as 10Sa RNA or SsrA, is named for its dual tRNA and mRNA-like properties. Its role is to liberate the mRNA from a stalled ribosome. Lineage: Bacteria; Pseudomonadati; Pseudomonadota; Gammaproteobacteria; Legionellales; Legionellaceae. The record is from RNAcentral.
GACUCAAAAAAAAGUAAAUGCGAACAACAUCGUUCCUUUCGCUCGUAAAGCAGUAGCCGUAGCCUAAAAACUCUCGUCUAAUGUGAGCGUCUAUAGUUUGACUCCGUUAAGGACUAUAGACCAACCCCCAACGGAUGCUCUAGCAAAUGUUCUCUGGGUGGUUUGCUAGUCAAGACUUAACCAGUGAAUCCCACCGUCCGGGAUAAGGGACGGUUCCCGCCUUGAGGAUUAGAUAGGAUAAACCUGUGAAUGAACGGGGAGUCAAUACCCAAUUUGGACACGGGUUCAAUUCCCGUAAGCUCCAUGA